CAUCGUCUGCCAUUUCAACUAUUGAUUGAAACAUACAUGGAAUCAUACAUGACAGUCAUAGAAAUCGUCUUACUACAAAUUUCUACAAAGUCCUACAAAGUCCGGAAUUAUACAUGUAUAUAAUGAAAUCAUAAAAUAACAUGAAUCCUACAAAGUCCGGAAUAUUUAUACAAAUUUCUACGAAUUUCUACGAAUUUCUAGCAAUAACCACAUGCGGUGCCUAGGUUGUGACGGCGGCGGUCAGGGCGGCGGAGGCGGGGACGGUUCCCUGGAACCACGGGCGGUGCCUAGGUUGUGACGGCGGCGGUCAGGGCGGCGGUACGGUGUAGGCGGAGACAGUUCCCCGGAACCACGGGCGGUGCCUACUAGGUUGUGACGGCGGCGGGACGGCGGAGGGGACACAUAUACAAAAACCUAACUUAAAAAAAAUCUAACUUAAAAAAAAUCUAACUUAAAAAUCUAACUUAAAAAUAUAACUUAAAAUCUAACUUAACAAUCUAACUAAAAAAUCUAACUUAAAAAUAUAACUUAAUUUUCUAAAUUAACAAUCAUACUUAAAAAUCUAUCAUAAAAAUAUAACUUAAUUUUCUAACUUAAAAAAAAAAGGCCCUGCUGGCGCCAGUGCCGGCCGGCGCGGCGGCAAACCUCUCGCGCGCGGUCGUCAACGGUGGCCGGAGCGACGAGGUGGCCG
RNAcentral lists this long non-coding RNA (691 nucleotides) under Setaria viridis. RNAcentral's name for it is "long non-coding RNA (SVIR_LNC010625)". Lineage: Eukaryota; Viridiplantae; Streptophyta; Magnoliopsida; Poales; Poaceae. The record is from RNAcentral.